This 303-nucleotide ribosomal RNA is filed under the name uncultured bacterium. Its description in RNAcentral is "partial 16S ribosomal RNA". It matches the Rfam family "Bacterial small subunit ribosomal RNA", at positions 507 to 807 of the family's 1533-position model. The record is from RNAcentral.
AGCAGUCGCCGCGGUAAUACAGAGGGUGCAAGCGUUAAUCGGAAUUACUGGGCGUAAAGCGCGCGUAGGUGGUUUGUUAAGUUGGAUGUGGAAUCCCCGGGCUCAACCUGGGAACUGCAUCCAAAACUGGCAGGCUAGAGUAGGGCAGAGGGUGGUGGAAUUUCCUGUGUAGCGGUGAAAUGCGUAGAUAUAGGAAGGAACACCAGUGGCGAAGGCGACCACCUGGGCUCAUACUGACACUGAGGUGCGAAAGCGUGGGGAGCAAACAGGAUUAGAUACCCCCGUAGUCCCUGUCUCUUAUAC